Phyllostomus discolor (pale spear-nosed bat) is the source of this 6153-nucleotide RNA transcript. It is a transcript of the gene named ERCC excision repair 6 like 2, with no coding region annotated. Lineage: Eukaryota; Metazoa; Chordata; Mammalia; Chiroptera; Phyllostomidae. The record is from RefSeq and is a predicted model, not a curated record. The transcript has 20 exons.
UCAUCUCGCGACAUUUUGCGAGUCAGGGUUGGAAGUUGGAGGCCCGGCUUUGAGAGAGAGGAUUAGGGGGUCGACUGGUACGUCGGCUGUCCUCCAGCGGCGGUGGGACCCGAGAUGACUAGGUGAGGGCCUCCCGGUCAGCCUCCACAGCGCCUUCCGGCUCUGCCACAGCCUCGGACGCCAUCAGUCUUUGUCCCUGGACCGCAUCAGGCUGCACCUUUGAUCCCUCUCUCCGGUUGUGUCGGGGUCUAGGGAGGCGAUGUUCGAAGAGACGGCGGGAGGUGGAGUUGGCCGCGGUUUUCCGGCUCGCAACCUCCUCGCCCCGCCCGAGAGCAACCAGGCUUCAGGCCCCACCCCCUGGCCAGAUGGAUCCCUCCGCCCCGAACUGUGGCGCGGAAAGCACCGGUAAAGACAUAUGGUAUCCAGGAGAAAGAUGUCUUGUCCCUUCUCCAGAUAAUGAAAAACUUUGUGAAGCAAGCAUAAAAUCCAUCACAGUGGAUGAAAAUGGAAAGUCAUUUGCAGUCAUCUUAUAUUCAGAUUUUCAAGAAAGGAAAGUACCUCUUAAAAGACUUCAAGAAGUAAAACCUGUUAAAGAUUAUUCUAGGAGUUUCAUAUUUGAUGAUGAAGAUUUAGAAAAACCUUAUUUCCCAGACCGAAAAUUUCCGUCAUCUGCUGUUGCUUUUCGUUUAUCUGAAAAUGGAGACUCUAUUCCUUAUACUAUUAACAGGUAUUUGAGAGACUAUCAAAGGGAAGGAGUGCAGUUUCUUUAUGGACACUUCAUCCAAGGAAGAGGGUGUAUUCUUGGUGAUGAUAUGGGACUUGGAAAAACAGUACAGGUUAUUUCAUUUUUGGCUGCAGUUUUGCAUAAAAAGGGAACCCGUGAGGAUAUUGAAAAUAACAUGCCAGAGUUUUUACUAAGAAGUCUGAAAAAGGAACCUCCUCCUUCAAUAGCAAAAAAGAUGUUCUUAAUAGUUGCCCCUCUUUCUGUCCUCUACAACUGGAGGGAUGAAUUGGACACCUGGGGAUAUUUCAGAGUCACUAUUUUACAUGGUAAUAAAAAAGACAAUGAACUGAUUCGUGUAAAGCAGAGGAAAUGUGAAAUUGCUCUAACAACUUAUGAAACGCUUCGCUUAUGUCUGGAUGAACUUAACAGUUUAGAAUGGUCAGCUGUCAUUGUGGAUGAAGCUCAUAGAAUCAAGAAUCCAAAGGCUAGAGUAACAGAAGUUAUGAAAGCUUUAAAAUGUAACGUUCGUAUUGGCCUCACUGGAACCAUUCUUCAGAACAAUAUGAAAGAACUGUGGUGUGUUAUGGACUGGGCUGUACCAGGACUUUUAGGUAGCAGGAUCCACUUCAAGAAGCAGUUUUCUGAUCCAGUAGAACAUGGUCAGAGACACACAGCAACAAAAAGAGAACUAGCUACUGGCCGAAAGGCCAUGCGAAGGCUUGCGACAAAGAUGGCUGGAUGGUUUCUCAGGCGUACCAAGAUUCUCAUCAAGAAUCAGUUGCCUAAGAAGGAAGACCGGAUGGUGUAUUGUUCUCUAACAGAUUUUCAGAAAGCUGUCUAUCAAACAGUAUUAGAAACAGAAGAUGUGACUUUGAUACUUCAGUCUUCUGAGCCUUGUACCUGCGGUAGUGGCCGAAAAAGGAGAAAUUGUUGUUAUAAGACUAAUUCACAUGGUGAAACAGUGAAAACCUUGUACUUCAGUUACCUCGCAGUCCUUCAGAAGGUAGCUAACCACGUCUCGCUACUGCAGGCUGCUAGCACCUCCAAACAGCAGGAAACACUCAUCAAAAGGAUAUAUGAUCAGGUAUUUUCCAGAUUCCCAGAUUUUGUGCAGAAAAGCAAAGAUGCAGCCUUUGAAACACUUUCUGAUCCAAAAUAUAGUGGAAAAAUGAAGGUCCUUCAGCAGCUUUUAAGUCAUUGCAGGAAAAACAGAGAUAAAGUUCUUCUUUUUUCCUUCUCCACCAAGUUGCUUGAUGUGCUGCAGCAAUACUGUAUGGCAUGUGGGCUUGAUUACCGACGACUUGAUGGAAGUACAAAAUCAGAGGAAAGAAUCAAGAUUGUGAAAGAGUUCAACAGUACACAAGAUGUUAACAUUUGCCUUGUCUCCACAAUGGCUGGUGGACUAGGCCUCAAUUUUAUUGGUGCCAAUGUUGUUGUAUUAUUUGAUCCUACUUGGAAUCCAGCCAAUGAUCUUCAGGCCAUCGACAGAGCAUACAGGAUUGGGCAGUGCAGGGAUGUCAAAGUGUUUAGGCUGAUAUCUUUGGGAACUGUGGAGGAGAUCAUGUACUUACGACAGGUGUACAAGCAGCAACUUCACUGUGUGGUGGUUGGAAGUGAAAAUGCAAAGCGAUAUUUUGAAGCAGUUCAAGGAUCAAAAGAGCAUCGAGGAGAGCUUUUUGGGGUCUCUAAUCUCUUCAAACUACGGUCCCAAGGGUCUUGUCUUACGAAGGAUAUCCUGGAGAGAGAAGGCCAAGUGGAAGCAGGGGUCAUGACAGCCAGAACAUGGUUGAAAGAGGAACCUCAAGUGCACAAACUAGAAGCACCUGCAGAGCCUGACUAUCAAGAAUGCAGAGGGCCUGAGCAACCUGCAUGUGGUCUAUGCGAUGAUUUUAGUGAUGAUGAAUCAGUGGAAAACUCAAGAAUAAAGUCUACUAAAAACAAAGCAUCUGACUCAAGUAAAGCUUCAGGUUCUCCUGGACAGCUUACCUUACUCCAGUGUGGUUUCUCUAAAUUGCUUGAGACAAAAUGUAAAGCAGUUGAUGAUAGUGAUGAAAAUAUUGCAUCUGAUGAUAAAAGUUCUGAUGAACAGCCCACAUGCCUUUCAACUGAAGCCAAAGAUGUUGGUUGUCAGAAAAGUCAAGUCUCUCUUGGUACUUCAAAACAUCAGAAAUUAGCCAACAUCCUAAGUCCAAAUGAAAAAUAUAUUUUUGAUAAAAGUGAAAAAAUUUUAGAACAGACUAUUUCUUCUGAGUCUGAUGAUAAUACAAAUUUUAAAAAUACAACUGACCACCAUUGCAAUUUACAGAAUGUCACAGAAUCGGAAGAUAGCGAUGUCAUCUUUCCCACACAAUAUACAGCACAGAAAUCCCCUAAGAAUAGUGUAAGACUUAAAAUAGCCAAGGAUAAAUAUGAAGAUUCUGAAACAGAAAGCCCUGUAAAAAUAGCAAAUAAUGAUGAUGAUACAAAGACCGAUGUCAGAGAAAGUGGACGAAUUUCAAAACAAUUAAAUCCUGUGAACCUGAAAUCUAUUAUGAAAAGAAAAGGUAGUAGUGAUAUUAGUGAUGAGUCUGAUGACAUUGAAAUUUCCUCUAAGUCAAACGUAAAAAAACAAAGAGCUACUAGUUCACUGAGGUUUAAAAGAAAAAAGGAAAAUAAAAGGGAACUUGACACUUUCCCUAAAGCAAUGAAGAAAGCAAACCAACUGUAUGCAACAGAUGAAGAUUAUAAUUCUACUGAUGAUUUUACAUCCUCAGAUGAUGAUUUUUCUGUUAGCCACAUCGGUUUCUCUAAACAGAGACAUAGACCAAAAACUUCAAAAGAUAGAAUUGGUUUCUCUUCAAAAUUUCCUAGCCAUAAGAAAAAUAGCACUUUUGCACCAAGAACACCAAUGAAAUUUUCAAAUGAGAGCACUGUCAAUCAAGAGCAGACGUAUGAAUCAAUGGAUAAAUUUUUAGAUGGUGUUCAGGAAGUGGCUUACAUUCACUCAAACCAGAACGUGAUUGGAUCAAGCAAAGCUGAAAAUCAUAUGAGCCGAUGGGCAGCACGUGAUGUAUUUGAAUUGAAGCAAUUUUCCCAGCUUCCUGCUAACAUAGCUGUUUGCAUUUCUGAGACACAUAAAGACAAGACGAAGACAGAUACAUCGACACACACAAAGAAAGGCCAUCAGCCAAGUGAAGAAGGCAUUUCAUUUCCCCUUUACAUUUCACAUCCUGUGAGCCAGAAGAAGAAAAAAGUUUACCGAACAGACCAGACCACCUUCAUAAUUGGGGAAACACCAAAAGGGAUUCGUAGAAAACAAUUUGAAGAAAUGGCUUCUUAUUUUAAUUUGUCUUCUGUGGAAUUUGCUCAACGUGUAACUAAUGCUACAUCAGAAGAACGACAGCAAAUGCUAAAAGACUUUUAUGUUUCUCAAUAUUCAGAGGUAAAAGACUUUUUUGUGGAUACUGCUGCAGAAUUCAUUAAACCUGCCUAUGAGAAAGGAAAGAGAAUCAGGAAUAAGUCUGGAAAGAGAGAAUCUUCUAUAAAAGAAAGGCUGCCAGAUUCUGAAACUUUGUCAUUUAAAGAUUCUACCAAAAAAAUUUCUCAAAUUUGCAGCCCAAAAAUAUAUAAAGAAAAAUCGGUUAGCCCUCAAACCCAUGGCUUCUGUAGAGAAGGGGUGCUUUCUAAUGAUGCAGAAACUCAGAAAUUACCUACAAGCUCUACCCAAGAGCCUGACAAUGAAAAAAACAGCCAACUAUCCAAAUAUACUAUAGCAUCCAGUUCCCUGAACAGUAAAUCUGAAGCACAUAAGAAAAGGUUAGAAAAUACCAUGGAAGACCUGCAAGACCUGACAGGAAUGAGCAUUUCAAGAAAUGAACCCCCUUUCAAAGUAGAAAACAAAAAUAUGAAAAAUCCAAUGUUAGAAAAUACUUCUGUGGUAGGCUUACUUGGUGACACCUCUAUUCUUGAUGACCUCUUUAAAAGUCAUGGGAACAGUCCCACACGGUUGCCAAAGAAAAUUCUUUCAGGGCCCAUAGAAAAAGCAAAACAGAGACCAAAAGAUUUCUGGGACAUCUUGAAUGAGCAGAAUGAUGACAGUCUUAGUAAACUCACCGACUUGGCCAUGAUAGAGACUCUGUGUGAAAAAGUGCCCCUUGCUGCAUCUUCCAAAAGGAAAGAGGAGCUAGAAACCUCUCUUUGGAAAUCAAAUGAGAAUUUUUUGUGGAAAAAAGUUAACUCAAGUGAUACAGAUAAAAACACAACCAAUACGCAAGAAUAAUAUAUAAACAGACAAAUAAAUCACUACACCAAUGAACUUCUGCCAUCGAUGUUUACAACACUGUUUCACCCUAAUUAUGUUAACUUGAACACACUUGUCAACAUAUAUUUUUAUUAAACUCUUGCGCUGAUUGUUUUUAAAGUCUAAAUUAUUAUCAUGUAUUUGCUUCCUUGAUAUCUUCCUUGAUCUUUUAAAAAUAUGAUUUUAUUAUAGUAUAAACCUGUUAUGAAAUGGAAAAGAUUCUGUAUUUAUCAGGCAACCUGGGGCAUAUCGCUUGCAGAGUAAUUAUGUGACCUUCAGUAAGUCGCUUACCCUGCUGUUCAGCUAUUUCCUAUAGGAAAGAUGAAGGGUUUGAACUUGAUCAACACAAGCAUCCUUCUAGUUUAAAAAGCUUUGGUUCACUCUCCCAGAUUCCAUUAAAUCAUAGGCCAAAUUAUGUUCACACACACACCCUCCCCCGCAUCAGGUGUACAUUGAUGUGCUCCUUUCCUACUAACAUUUGAAAAUUAUUAAGUUAACUGUUUUCCUUUAUCUUCAGUAUUAUGUACUACUGUUAUUAAAUUACUUUAGAUGACAGUAAUUACUAGAACUGAAUAUAUGGUAUUGUGUUAAAGUAGUAAGUUUAUAAAUGCUCAAAAUCAAAGAGUUAAUGCUGUAUAACUUUACCAUAAGAGAUAUAAUGCUGAAGUAACAUAAUUAUUACCUUAGCCACAGAAUGUCGACAUCAACUUUUCAAAUGACUAUUAUGAUCUCAUCAAUAUAUAGCUUUGUAUAAUAUUUUUGUAUUUCUUAAGUAUAAAGAAAUGAGUAAAUAUUUAAUUUUAUUUGAAACUGAUAUUUGUUGGAUUUAAUUUAAAUGGUUUAUACCCAGUGGAAUGUACUCAUUGCUGAAUUCCUUUAUUUGGAAACAUUCAGUCAGGCCCUGAGCGUGGUACGAGCUCAAGAAGCAGAGCUGCGCCACUACUACAGGUUAGAGAAAGGAAGCUCCAUCUGUGAAGAUUCGUGACCAUGAAGCCCUUGGCCUUGUGCCCAGCAUGCAGUAGUAGGGACCUGCAGCUUCUUCUGACCCACAUUCAGAUGCACUAUAGAAGCUUUCCCUCAGUUGAGCUCACAGGCUGAUGGGAGGAAAGGCCCUCAGAAGACCCAGGAUGAAGAGCCAUUGCACACAAAU